RNAcentral lists this unclassified non-coding RNA (179 nucleotides) under uncultured Ascomycota. Its description in RNAcentral is "sequence contains ITS2". The record is from RNAcentral. Lineage: Eukaryota; Fungi; Ascomycota.
CAACCCCUCAGGGACACCUGGUAGUGAACCCGGUUCAGGUUUUCGAACCUGACCUGGUUCCAAAUUGGCACGCUCCAGCGGUAGGAAAGGUACUCGAGAGAAAAACGUAGUAAGCGAAAGCCAACUGUUUUACCCUCCGGAGACCCGUGACCGCCUGAACAAAAUCUUUCAUUUCAAAG